GGAUCGAUGAUGACACUCAAAUAUGCAUUCCUUGGAAAAGCUGAACAAAAUAAGUGAGAAAUCCCUACUGUCUACUCUCAUUGAACUGAGGUCC
This is a small nucleolar RNA of Choloepus hoffmanni (Hoffmann's two-fingered sloth), 94 nucleotides long. Its record names the gene SNORD116. It matches the Rfam family "Small nucleolar RNA SNORD116". From Rfam's summary of the family: HBII-85 is a member of the C/D class of snoRNAs, which contain the C (UGAUGA) and D (CUGA) box motifs. HBII-85 is encoded in a tandemly repeated array with another C/D snoRNA, HBII-52, in the Prader-Willi syndrome (PWS) region of chromosome 15. Unlike most other snoRNAs, HBII-85 is expressed prevalently in the brain (but is absent in PWS patients) and lacks any significant complementarity with ribosomal RNA. The record is from Ensembl. NCBI's taxonomy places the organism in Eukaryota, Metazoa, Chordata, Mammalia, Pilosa, Megalonychidae.